Non-coding RNA from Gasterosteus aculeatus aculeatus (three-spined stickleback), 741 nucleotides. The record is from RefSeq and is a predicted model, not a curated record. Lineage: Eukaryota; Metazoa; Chordata; Actinopteri; Perciformes; Gasterosteidae.
GCCAAGCACUUCCAGGCGUUCCUGGUGGAUGGACUGGUGAGGUGGAACAAGGACCGCGCAGCGGCAGCUACACCACCACCGGCUGAGACCUCUGCACUCCUACAGUGGCCACCUCAAGCACGUCCUUAACCAGAAGAGCCAAAGAGUGCUUGGUUUUCAGGUGAUUAAGGACUUCACCGAGCCGGCUGAGUACACAGGGGAGCUCAUCGGAGUGGAGUACCUGUACCAGCAGACCGGCUUGAGGACGUCAGCCUGUACCCUGACACUCCGGACGAGGCUCCUGCCAUCGAGGCGCUGGAGGAGGAUGAGGGCAUCGAGGAAGACGUAGCGGACCGUACCGUCUUCGGGCCCGAUACUCCGUCCUCCAGCGCGGUAGCAGCCCGGUCAGGUGAUCCAGCUGACGCACCGUCUGAGCCAUCCCGUUCAGGUCAAGUUGCCCCUCCCGAGGCCCCAGAGGUUCAGGACCCUGAUCCCCAGCAGCCCUCCUCAGACUCUGAAGAGGACAUCCAGGGUCCUGAUGGCCAGCCCGGGUACCGGCACGUCCUGAAGCUGGCCCAAGCGCUGGUGGAAGGGAGGAACCUUCUGGGGCUGUCUGAGAGUAGGGUAGACAGACUCAUCCUGCUUUGGACUCGCUUGGCGGAGCAGGCCAAGCGGCGAGUCGACUACCCUCCCAGAUACCGGGAGAGGCAACCAAAGGGGCGGUUCAAGGCAGCGAAGGGGAAGAACACCUCCUGUGCUGGA